Molecule: ribosomal RNA, 253 nt
Filed under: uncultured bacterium
Lineage: Bacteria
Description: partial 16S ribosomal RNA
Rfam family: Bacterial small subunit ribosomal RNA
Source: RNAcentral
UACGAAGGGUGCAAACGUUGCUCGGAAUUACUGGGCGUAAAGCGUGCGCAGGCGGCUUUGCAAGACAGAUGUGAAAUCCCCGGGCUUAACCUGGGAACUGCAUUUGUGACUGCAUGGCUGGAGUGCGGCAGAGGGGGAUGGAAUUCCGCGUGUAGCAGUGAAAUGCGUAGAUAUGCGGAGGAACACCGAUGGCGAAGGCAAUCCCCUGGGCCUGCACUGACGCUCAUGCACGAAAGCGUGGGGAGCAAACAGG